Molecule: ribosomal RNA, 464 nt
Filed under: uncultured bacterium
Lineage: Bacteria
Description: partial 16S ribosomal RNA
Rfam family: Bacterial small subunit ribosomal RNA
Source: RNAcentral
ACGAACGCUGGCGGCGUGCUUAACACCUGCAAGUCGAACGGAAAGGCCCUGCUUGCAGGGUACUCAAGUGGCGAACGGGUGAGUAACACGUGGGUGAUCUGCCCUGCACUUCGGGAUAAGCCUGGGAAACUGGGUCUAAUACCGGAUAGGAGCCAUUUUUAGUGUGAUGGUUGGAAAGUUUUUUCGGUGUAGGAUGAGCUCGCGGCCUAUCAGCUUGUUGGUGGGGUAAUGGCCUACCAAGGCGGCGACGGGUAGCCGGCCUGAGAGGGUGGACGGCCACAUUGGGACUGAGAUACGGCCCAGACUCCUACGGGAGGCAGCAGUGGGGAAUAUUGCACAAUGGGCGCAAGCCUGAUGCAGCGACGCCGCGUGGGGGAUGACGGCCUUCGGGUUGUAAACUCCUUUCGCUAGGGACGAAGCUUUUUGUGACGGUACCUAGAUAAGAAGCACCGGCUAACUACGUG